This 448-nucleotide ribosomal RNA is filed under the name uncultured bacterium. RNAcentral describes it as "partial 16S ribosomal RNA". It matches the Rfam family "Bacterial small subunit ribosomal RNA", at positions 329 to 794 of the family's 1533-position model. The record is from RNAcentral.
GUCCAGACUCCUACGGGAGGCAGCAGUGGGGAAUAUUGCACAAUGGGGGAAACCCUGGUGCAGCGACGCCGCGUGAGCGAUGAAGUAUUUCGGUAUGUAAAGCUCUAUCAGCAGGGAAGAAAAUGACGGUACCUGACUAAGAAGCCCCGGCUAACUACGUGCCAGCAGCCGCGGUAAUACGUAGGGGGCAAGCGUUAUCCGGAUUUACUGGGUGUAAAGGGAGCGUAGACGGCAAUGCAAGCCAGAUGUGAAAGCCCGGGGCUCAACCCCGGGACUGCAUUUGGAACUGUGUAGCUGGAGUGUCGGAGAGGCAGGCGGAAUUCCUAGUGUAGCGGUGAAAUGCGUAGAUAUUAGGAGGAACACCAGUGGCGAAGGCGGCCUGCUGGACGAUGACUGACGUUGAGGCUCGAAAGCGUGGGGAGCAAACAGGAUUAGAUACCCUCGUAAC